This 378-nucleotide ribosomal RNA is filed under the name uncultured eukaryote. RNAcentral's name for it is "SSU rRNA". It matches the Rfam family "Eukaryotic small subunit ribosomal RNA", at positions 587 to 972 of the family's 1831-position model. The record is from RNAcentral.
AGCUCCAAUAGCGUAUAUUAAAGUUGUUGCAGUUAAAAAGCUCGUAGUUGGAUCUCAGGGUGAGCUCAGUUGGUCGGCCUAAUUGGUCAGAACUGGCUGUCUCUCCCUUGUUUCUGAAUCCGUUCCAUAGUUAACUCUGUGGUUCUGGACUUCAGAUCGUUUACCUUGAAAAAAUUAGAGUGUUCAAAGCGGGCGUUUGCUUGAAUACAUUAGCAUGGAAUAAUGGAAUAGGACCCUGGUUCUAUUUUGUUGGUUUUGAGGACCAGAGUAAUGAUUAAUAGGGAUAGUUGGGGGCAUUCAUAUUUAAUUGUCAGAGGUGAAAUUCUUGGAUUUAUGAAAGAUGAACUUCUGCGAAAGCAUUUGCCAAGGAUGUUUUCA